AUUAUAAAUGCAGUUCUUUCUAUCUGUAAAAUUAACAGUGUACUAUAGACAGUAAAUAGUUGGUGUUUGAGGCUGUACAAUUUUCAGUGACUAAAAACCUCCAAUUUCUCUCAAUAUCGGAGUGACAAUUGUCACCACUGGACUGACGGCUUUCAAAACAACAUCAGGUGAUGGUUUAUCUGUUUGCCUAAGCCUUCUAUUGAGUCAACUGAAGUGUGAUUAAUGCCAAGAGCCCUGUAUCACCUGGUGCUUCUCACACUCAAUCAGGUGCCUUUUGUGACUUUAUGGGCAACCUGUUGUCUGUGAUUUUAAAAUGUGAUCAUCGUCUUUCACACCUCAGAAGUUUUCAAGAGCUUGUAACUGGACUGAUUGUAAGUUUGGACUGAUCAAAUGGAUGGCGAGCUUGUGUGCUUUGCUCUGUUUGGCUCUGUCAUAUGGCUCGUGGUCGCAUUCUAUCUUACUAUUUGUGCAUUACUUUUGUACUCCAUCUGCUGUAAGACCAAAAACAAAGACCGUGAUAUGGAGAGGCAGGCCGUGUCUCCUGCAGAACUGCUGAACAGACAAUGAGACCAAAAAGAAACAGAAUGGUCUUUUCUAUAUUCACUAACUGCAGACAUUGUGUUUCCACCUACAGUAGGCUGCUCUUUUUUGUUGCCUGAAGAUAAAUGCUAAUGAGUGUUAUAAAUUUGGAUAUGCCUAAAGAACAGAUCACUGACAACCUAGACACAAUCAUCAAGGAUGUAUGCUCACACAGGCCUUUGAACUUGAGCCCAUUUAUUGAGAGAGCAAUCAUUUCGAGUACAAAAAGCGAAGCAUUACAUUUCAAGAUUGAACAGUUUCUUCCAAAAAUUGAAGAGGUGGACACGAAAUAAGGACAGGGCUGAAAUCAUGCUUUUAUUUAUUUUUUUGUUACUAUUAUCUGUAAAAAAUACUGUCAUAACAUAAUAAAAUGUAUCAGUGUAUCCAUCUAUGCUGUUUCUUUUGAAUACUUUUAAAGGAUGUUAUAAAAAGGGAAGGGAAACAAACUAUGAUUGUGUAAGAGUGUCACCAUGUGUUAAACAUUUUAACAUAUAUCAUUUGUUGUAUUGUGAUUUAUUAACACGUCAUUUGAUGGUCCUG
Long non-coding RNA from Polyodon spathula (Mississippi paddlefish), 1119 nucleotides. RefSeq lists it as uncharacterized. NCBI's taxonomy places the organism in Eukaryota, Metazoa, Chordata, Actinopteri, Acipenseriformes, Polyodontidae. The record is from RefSeq and is a predicted model, not a curated record. The transcript is spliced from 3 exons.